AUUAAACGCUGGCGGCAUGUCUUACACAUGCAAGUCGAACGGCAGCACGGGGGCAACCCUGGUGGCGAGUGGCGAACGGGUGAGUAAAGCAUCGGAACGUGCCCUGGAGUGGGGGAUAACGUAGCGAAAGUUACGCUAAUACCGCAUAUUCUGUGAGCAGGAAAGCAGGGGAUCGCAAGACCUUGCGCUCUGGGAGCGGCCGAUGUCGGAUUAGCUAGUUGGUGGGUAAAGGCCUACCAAGGCGACGAUCCGUAGCGGGUCUGAGAGGAUGAUCCGCCACACUGGGACUGAGACACGGCCCAGACUCCUACGGGAGGCAGCAGUGGGGAAUUUUGGGACAAUGGGCGAAGCCUGAUCCAGCCAUGCCGCGUGAGUGAAGAAGGCCU
RNAcentral lists this ribosomal RNA (386 nucleotides) under uncultured bacterium. RNAcentral's name for it is "bacterial SSU rRNA". It matches the Rfam family "Bacterial small subunit ribosomal RNA", at positions 29 to 417 of the family's 1533-position model. The record is from RNAcentral.